GUAGGUGGCAAGCGUUGUCCGGAAUUAUUGGGCGUAAAGCGCGCGCAGGCGGUUCUUUAGGUCUGAUGUGAAAGCCCACGGCUCAACCGUGGAGGGUCAUUGGAAACUGGAGAACUUGAGUACAGAAGAGGAAAGCGGAAUUCCACGUGUAGCGGUGAAAUGCGUAGAGAUGCGGAGGAACACCAGUGGCGAAGGCGGCUUUCUGGUCUGUAACUGACGCUGAGGCGCGAAAGCGUGGGGAGCAAACAGGGAUUAGAUACCCUGGUAGUCCACGCCGUAAACGAUGAGUGCUAAGUGUUAGGGGGUUUCCGCCCCCUUAGUGCUGCAGCUAACGCAUUAAGCACUCCGCCUGGGGAGUACGGCCGCAAGGCUG
This 373-nucleotide ribosomal RNA is filed under the name uncultured organism. RNAcentral describes it as "partial 16S ribosomal RNA". It matches the Rfam family "Bacterial small subunit ribosomal RNA", at positions 527 to 896 of the family's 1533-position model. The record is from RNAcentral.